AUCCUUUCAUAGUUCAUGAGCAUGAUGAUUGAGUUUUCACAAGCCUAUGUGAGAUGCAUCUCCCUCAACCUUUAUUACAAUGUUGACACAUUAUCCAUCAGGUA
Small nucleolar RNA from Nycticebus coucang (slow loris), 104 nucleotides. RefSeq annotates it as small nucleolar RNA U13. Lineage: Eukaryota; Metazoa; Chordata; Mammalia; Primates; Lorisidae. The record is from RefSeq and is a predicted model, not a curated record. The transcript has a single exon.